GUCGUGAGAUGUUGGGUUAAGUCCCGCAACGAGCGCAACCCUUAUCUGCUGUUGCCAGCGCGUAAAGGCGGGGACUCUGCAGAGACUGCCGGUGAUAAACCGGAGGAAGGUGGGGACGACGUCAAGUCAUCAUGGUCCUUACGCCCAGGGCUACACACGUGCUACAAUGGCCGGGACAAAGCGCAGCAAGCCCGCGAGGGGGAGCGAAUCGCAAAAACCCGGUCUAAGUUCGGAUUGCAGUCUGUAACUCGACUGCAUGAAGUCGGAAUCGCUAGUAAUCGUGGGUCAGCUACACCACGGUGAAUACGUUCCCGGGCCUUGUACACACCGCCCGUCACGCCAUGGAAGUCGGGAGCGCCCGAAGUCGGUGACCCAACCCUUCGGGGAGGGAGCCGCCGAAGGCGAGCUCGGUGACUGGGGCGAAGUCGUAACAAGGUAGCCGUAGGGGAACCUGCGGCUGGAUCACCUCCUUUCUGGAGCGACCAGUAAGCGCGGCGCAGCUUCGGCUGCGGAUGCGUCGAACGUCCUCACAGGUCGAGCGCUCAUUGGGAAAGCACACCCGAGAUCUUGGUUGAUUGACAAAUUGGGUAAGGGGAAGGGUAGUAGAGAGUGGACUUCGUCGAGGAGGGAUCCUCGAGGGAGAGCACCACGUGUGAUUAGGUUCGGUGGGCCGGAUAUGAGGCAUAUCCGGUCAAGCGGAAUAAGGGCGCACGGUGGAUGCCUUGGCACGGACAGGCGAAGAAGGGCGUGAUAAGCUGCGAAAAGCUUCGGGGAGCCGCACGUAGGCGUUGAUCCGGAGGUGC
Molecule: small RNA, 803 nt
Filed under: uncultured Gemmatimonas sp.
Lineage: Bacteria; Pseudomonadati; Gemmatimonadota; Gemmatimonadia; Gemmatimonadales; Gemmatimonadaceae
Description: bacterial SSU rRNA
Rfam family: Bacterial small subunit ribosomal RNA (bases 1-473)
Source: RNAcentral